Molecule: ribosomal RNA, 789 nt
Filed under: Phyllosticta spinarum
Lineage: Eukaryota; Fungi; Ascomycota; Dothideomycetes; Botryosphaeriales; Phyllostictaceae
Description: partial 28S ribosomal RNA
Rfam family: Eukaryotic large subunit ribosomal RNA
Source: RNAcentral
CGGCAAUAGCUCAAAUUUGAAAGCUGGCGCCUUCGGCGUCCGCGUUGUAAUUUGUAGAGGAUGCUUCGGCGAGGACUCCUGCCUAAGUUCCCUGGAAUGGGACGUCACAGAGGGUGAGAAUCCCGUAUGUGGCGGGCGGUCCAAGCCAUGUGAAGCUCCUUCGACGAGUCGAGUUGUUUGGGAAUGCAGCUCUAAAUGGGAGGUAAAUUUCUUCUAAAGCUAAAUACCGGCCAGAGACCGAUAGCGCACAAGUAGAGUGAUCGAAAGAUGAAAAGCACUUUGGAAAGAGAGUUAAAAAGUACGUGAAAUUGUUGAAAGGGAAGCGCUUGCAACCAGACUCGCUCGCAGUUGCUCAGCCCGCCUCCUGGCGGGUGUACUCUUCUGCGAUCGGGCCAGCAUCAGUUCGGGCGGCCGGAUAAAGGUGUCGGGAAUGUAGCACCCUUCGGGGUGUGUUAUAGCCCGGCGCGGAAUGCGGCCAGCCUGGACUGAGGAUCUCGCUUCGGCAAGGAUGCUGGCGUAAUGGUUGUAAGCGGCCCGUCUUGAAACACGGACCAAGGAGUCUAACAUCUAUGCGAGUGUUUGGGUGUCAAACCCAUGCGCGUAAUGAAAGUGAACGGAGGUGGGAACCCGCAAGGGUGCACCAUCGACCGAUCCUGAUGUCUUCGGAUGGAUUUGAGUAAGAGCAUAGCUGUUGGGACCCGAAAGAUGGUGAACUAUGCCUGAAUAGGGUGAAGCCAGAGGAAACUCUGGUGGAGGCUCGCAGCGGUUCUGACGUGCAAAUCGAUCGUC